UUUUUUUUUUAAUUUUUUUUAUUGGUUGUUCAAAACAUUAUAAAGCUCUUGACAUAUCAUAUUUCAUACAUUAGAUUCAAGUUGGUUAUGAACUCCCAAUUUUACCCCAAAUACAGAUUGCAGAAUCACAUCGGUUACACAUCCACAUUUUUACAUAAUGCCCUAUUAGUAACUGUUGUAUUCUGCUACCUUUCCUAUCCUCUACCAUCCCCCCUCCCUCCCCUCCCAUCUUCUCUCUCUACCCCAUCCACUGUAAUUCAUAUCUCUCCUUGUUUAUUUUCCCAUUCCCCUCACAACCUCUUAUAUGUAAUUUUGUAUAACAAUGAGGGUCUCCCUCCAUUACCAUGCAAUUUCCCUUUUCUCUCCCUUUCCAUCCCACCUCAUGUAUCUGUUUAAUGUUAAUCUUUUCUUCCUGCUCUUCCUCCCUGCUCUGUUCUUAGUUGCUCUCAUUAUAUCAAAGAAGACAUUUGGUAUUUGUUUUUUAGGGAUUGGCUAGCUUCACUAAGCAUAAUCUGCUCUAGUGCCAUCCAUUUCCCUGCAAAUUCUAUGAUUUUGUCAUUUUUUAGUGCUGCGUAAUACUCCAUGGUGUAUAAAUGCCACAUUUUUUUUAUCCAUUCAUCUAUUGAAGGGCAUCUGGGUUGGUUCCACAGUCUAGCAAUUGUGAAUUGUGCUGCUAUGAACAUCGAUGUAGCAGUAUCCCUGUAGUACGCUCUUUUAAGGUCUUCAGGGAAAAGUCCAAGAAGGGCAAUAGCUGGGUCAAAUGGUGGGUCCAUUCCCAGCUUUCCCAGGAAUCUCCAUACUGCUUUCCAGAUUGGCCGCACCAGUUUGCAGUCCCACCAGCAAUGUACAAGAGUACCCUUUUCCCCACAUCCUCUCCAGCACUUGUUGUUGUUUGACUUCAUAAUGGCUGCCAAUCUUACUGGAGUGAGAUGGUAUCUUAGGGUGGUUUUGAUUUGCAUUUCUCUGACUGCUACAAAAUAUUUGUUUUUCAACAUUUACCUUAAAUCAUGGGGGCCAUAAAAUGUCUCUAAACACAUUGAAAACAGAAAAGCUAAGUACACUUACAGACAUAAAUCAUCAGGUGCUUCAAACUUUAUAAGACAUUUGAAACUGCAGAAGGCACAGUAAGACUUAAAUAAAAAAGUUCUUUUUAAAUUCAUUUUUUGCAUUAUCAAUCUUAAAUUUUCAAAUACAAAAGUAAAUAUUAGGUGUUAAUAUAUUGGACCAAUUAGCAGAAGAAUUUUCAGACAGUGAUGCCAGUUUUACAUAGACAUCAUUAGAUGCUUAAAAUAGAACAUCAUUUAAAUUAAUUUCCAUAGUGAUUUGGUUGCAAGAAAAAUUCAUUUCACGGAAUCACAGUGAAUUUUUGGAAACAUUCCGUCAAGUUAAUAUGUUUAAUAUUAUCAUGUUGGUGUUAUAAAUUUGGUUUAAAAGUUCAAAACUAAAAUUUAAAAUUGUUUUUGCAGUUAUAAUGUAAAAUAUUUUAGGUACAACACAGUGAUGUCAUAAAGACUGGUACACUAUAAUUAAUUAAUUACUUACUAAUUAAGUCUAAUUAAUUACUUGGGAUUUGAUAUGAUAUACACCAUUUGUCAAAAUGUGAUGAAUUUUUAUGUAUAUUCACUUACAGUAAUAAUUAAAAAAUGUUUCUGAUUAAAUAUUUAGAAUGGCAAAAAAAAAAAAGUAUGGAUUUUAUUAAGACUUUUGUUUCUAUGCUUGAUGAUUUUACAGUUUUUUCAAGUUUGGAUCUGGGAUAUGUGAGUCAAAACAAAACUUUUGAAAGUCUUUAUUAAAAUUUCAUUCCCUAUCACUUUAGAGUCUUAUUGCAGGAGUAUGAAAAAAACUACAUGGAACUUGGGGAAGAAUGAUGCAAGAAGAAUAAGCAGAAGAAUAUCUUAAUAAUUUGAACAAUUUGUUUUCUUAUACCAUAAAAGUUAAAAAAAACCCUUUAAAACAGAGCAUGAAUGGAAAAAUACUUAGACAAAUUUUUUUUUUAAAUUAACCAACGUGGAAACUGGUUGUAGACUAAAGGUUGCUCUAGGCUUAUAUAAUGAACCUUAAUAUAAAUUAUUAACAAGUCAAAACAUUUUCAGAUACUUUAACUGGGUCCUAAAACAAAGUUAAAAAUAUUUAAAUAAACAGUCAUGUACAGUGGUCACCCCACAAUAUGAUCCAUAAUCUCUUUUGUCUACUGAAAACUUACCAGACAUAUAAACAAGUAAAAAUACCACUUAUAAUGAGAAGAAAAAUCAAUAAAUUUCUAAUGAUAAUGCUAAUAGGAUUCUCACUGAAAACAAGGCAAGCCAGUAAACAGUACAAGAACGUCAUUAUCAUACUCAAAAGUCUAAUGACACAACAUAUCAAUAUCACUAGGACACUAUGAAGGCAGGCCUAAGAUGAAAGUUCAUUGCAUUGAGCUUAUUCGCUAAAAGAAUAGAAAUUAAUCAAAUAAACAAACUAACAUUACAUCUCAAAGCCCUAUAAAAAAGAACAAAUCAACACAAAAGCAGUACAAGACAGGAAAUAAUCAAAAUCAGAGCUGAUAUCAAUGAAAUGAAACAAAAAAAUUUCAAAAUAUCAAUAAAACAAAAGUUGAUUCUUUGAAAAAAUAAGUAAAUUAAUAAAGCUAAUGAAGAGAAAGAGAAAACUCAAAAUUACUAAGAUUCAUGAUAAAAAAGGAAAUAUCACAAUGGACAGUACUGAAAUACAGAUGAUAUCAGAAACUAUUUUGAAAAUCUAUACUCCAGUAAAAUAGACAAGCCCAGGACCAGAUGGAUUUUCUGCUGAUUUCAAAGAAGAAAUUACACCAAUACUCUUCAAAUUAUUCUAUGAAAUUGAAAAGGAGGGAACUCUUUUAAACUGAUUUUAUGAAGCUAGUAUCACCCUGACACCAAAACCAGAAAAAGACACAUCAAGGAAAGAAAACUUCAGGCUAAUAUCCUUGAUGAACAUAGAUGCAAAAGUUCUUAAUAAAAUACCAGCAAAUCACAUACAGAACCAUAUUUAAAAGAUAGUGUGCCAUGAUCAAGUGGGGUUCAUCCCAGGGAUCCAAGGUUGGUUUAACAUGUAGAAAUUAAUAAAUGUAAUUCACUUUAUCAAUAGACUUAAAGACAAAAAUCACAUGAUAAUCUCAAUAGAUGUUGAAAAAGCAUUUGAUAAAACUUAGCAUCCAUUCAUGCUCAAAACACAAGAAAAACUAGGGAUGGUAGGAAUAUACCUGAACAUUGUAAAAGUUAUAUAUGGUAAACCCAAAACAAACAUCAUUCUAAAUGGAGACAAAUUGAAAACAUUCUCUCUAAAAACUGGAACAAGACAAGGAUGCCCCCUUUCACCACUUCUAUUCAACAAAGUACUUAAAACUCUAGCCAGAGGAAUUGGUCAAAAGAAAGCCAUUAAAGGAAUACAAACAGGAAAAGAAGAACUCAAACUAUUCCUAUUUGUUUAUGGCAUAAUUCUAUAUUUAGAAGACCUUCCCCCCCAAAAAAAUCCAUCAGAAAACAUCUAGAAUUCAGCAGAUUAACAGGAUAUAAAAUUAACACCUAUAUCAAUAAUUCAAUGGCAUUCCUGUACACCACAGAUGAAUCGGCUGAAAGAGAAAUUAGGAAAACAAUUCUAUUCACAAUAGCCUCAAAACAAACAAACAAACAACCCCCCCCCCCCAAACUUAGGAAUCAGUCUAACAAAAGAGGUUGAAAAACUACAGAACAUUAAAGAAAGAAAUUGAAGGUGACCUUAGAAUAUGGAAAGAUCUCUCAUGUUCUUGGAUAGGCAGAAUUAAUAUUGUCAAAAUAUGACCAUCCUACCAAAAGCUCUAUCUAUACAGAUUUAAUGCAAUUACUAUAAAAUUCUAAUGACUUUCUAGAAGGAGAAAAGCAGUCAUGAAAUUCAUUUGGAAAAAUUAGAGGCUCAGCUUAGCCAAAGCAAUACUUAGCAAGAAAGCAAAGCAGGAGGCAUCACAAUACCAGACUUUAAAUUAUACUACAGAGGUAGAGUAACAAAAACAACAUGGUAUGAGCACAAAAUAAGACAUGCAGACCAAUGGAACAGAAUAGAAGACACAGAGACAAAACCACAUAUAUACAGUUCCCUCAUACUAGAUAAAGGCACCAUAAACCUAUAUUGGAGAAAAGAUAGUCUCUUCAACAAAUGGUGCUGGGAAAAAUGGAAAUUAAUACAUGGCAAAAUUAAAUUGAACCCCUAUCUCUCACCCUGUAUAAAACUCAAAGUGGUUGAAGAACUUAGGCAUUAGAACAGAGACACUGUACCUACUGGAAGCAAAUGUAGGCCCCACUCUCCAUCAUGUCAGUUUAGAACUUAUUUCCUCAACAAGACUCCUAAAGCACAAGAAGUAAAAUCAGGAAACAAUAAAUGGGAUGGUAUCAAACUGAAAGAGGAUACAAUGAAGAAUGUGAAGAGAGAGCAUACAGAAUGGGGGAAAAUCUUUGUCAUCUGCACCUCAGAUAGGCCAUUAAUCUCCAGGAUAUAUAAAGAACUCAAAAAACUUAACAUCAAAAAACCCCAAAUAAUCCAAUCAAUAAAUGGGCAAAGGAACUGAACAGAUAUUUCACAGAAGAAAUAUAAAUGGUCAACAAAUAUAUGAAAAAUGUUCAACAUCUCUAGCAAUUGGAGAAAUGCAAAUUAGAACUACACUGAGAUUCCAUCUCACUCCAGUCCGAAUGUUAAUUAUCAAGAAUACAAGCAAGUGUUGGCAAGGAUGUGGGGGAAAAGGUUCACUCAUCUGUUGCUGGUGGGACUGCAAAUUGAUGCAAAGACUCUGGAAAGCAGGAUUGAGAUUCCUCAGAAAAUUUGGAAUGGGACCACCAUUUGACCCAGUUAUCACACUCCUUAGUAUAUACCCAAAGGAUUUAAAAUCAGCAUACUACAGUGAUGCAGUCACAUCAAUGUUUAAAGCAGCUCAAUUCACAAUAGCUAAGCUAUGGAACUAACCUAGGUGCCCUUCAACAGAUGAACGAAUAAACAAAAUAGUAUAUAUACCUGAUGGAAUAUUACUCAUCUAUAAAGAAAAAUGAAAUUAUGGCAUUUGCCAGUAAAUGUAUGGAACUGGAUGCUAUCAUGCUAAGUGAAAUAAGCCAAUACCAAGAAACCAAAGGCUAAAUAGUUUUUCUGAUAUGUGGAUGCUAAUAUACAUUAAUAGUGGGAUGAUGGAAGAAUAGAAGUUCAUUGCACUAGACAAAGGGGAACGGAGGGAAAGGAGUGGGAAUGGGAAUAGGAAAGACAGUAGAAUGAAUCAGACAUAACUUUCCUAUGUUCUUACAUGAAUACAUGACCAGGGAAACUCCACAUCAUAUACAAACACAAGAAUGGGACCCUAAUUAGAAGAAGUUAUACUCCAUGUAUGUAUAAUAUGUCAAAGUACACUCUACUAUCAUGUAUCUAAAAAGAACAAAUAAAAAGGAAGGUAUACUAAAAGAGAAAAAACAAAAUUGUGGACUCUUAAAAAAAUGUCUACAUGGAAUUCUAUAUUCUACAAAACCAAAUUAUUCAAGAAAUGCCUGGGAAAAUAUAGACUGCUUCAUAUAAGAAUCUGAAAGAAUUCAUCAUAGCUGACUUAUAGUUUAAGAAACUUGUUAAAGAAAUCCCCCAGGAAGAAGUAAAUGUAUAUGAAGGAAAGAAGAACACCACAAAGAGUAAAUUUUUUGAUAUUCGUAAAACAUGUUUUAUUAUUUAGCAUGAUUUUCAAAGAGAAUUUUCUUCUCAAGGCAAAAGUAAUAAUGAUAUGUUUUGGGGUUUAUAACAAAUAUAGAAGUAAAAUUUAACACAACAAUAUCAUAAGGACUGAGAGCAGGGAAACAAAGGUAUUAUCAAUGUUUUUUAUUCACAAUAGUAACUUGAAGUUGUUAUGUUAAAGAUAAAUAGUGUUAAAUCUAAAUCCACCAUGAAAAAGUAGAUAUAAAUAGUAAACAAAUAAAUCGACAAGAGUCAUAAAAAGGUACUUAAUCAGAAAGAGUAUAAAAGAGGAGCAAAAAGAAGGAAUAAAUUGAAAAAUUGCAAUAAUCCCAUCUUUUAUGUGUGGCCUAAACACAAUACUGAAUUUAAAAAGUGAGACUUCACUAUAUUCUGCUGAUAUAAACCCCAUUUUAAAAAAUAAAAUGAUGACAAAAUGUAUACCAUGAAAAUAAAAGUAAAGUUGGAGUAAUUUAUUAUUAUCAGGUGAAGAUGUCAAAGAUAAGAAUUUAUUAAGGAUACUGAUGUUUAUUUAGUAAUAAUGUUAAUUCAUCAAAAGGAUAUAAACAUUGUGAAAAUUUAAGGAGCUAUUGUGAACAAUCUAAUGACAAACAAUUUGGCUAUUUGGUUGAAAUGAACAACUUUCUUCAAAGACACAUACUCUUCUCAUUGAAGAAGAAAUAGCUUACCCUUUUAUCCAUAUACUUAGAAGAAAAUCUUGAAUUAAAAACCUUUUAAGAAGAAAAUUACAGGUACAGAAAGCUAAGCAUUUGAGGAGGAAAUAAUAUCAUGUUUAUAUAAAUAAACUCUUCCAGAAAAUUGAAAAGGGGAAAAACACUUCCUAAUGGAUUUUAUGUUGCCAGAAUUACCUUGAUAUGAACACUAGGCAACACUGGAAAAAAAAGAGAAAAUUUUUCUUUCAUAUACAUGCAAAAUAAUAGAUAAAACAGUAGCAAAACAAAUAAUAUAUAAAAAACAUUCUAUAUCUUGACUGAGUGAUUUAUCCCAGGAAUAUGAUUAAUUUAAAAUUAAAAAUCAAUGAAUAUAAGCCAACCUACUAGCACACUUCAAAAUACAAACCAUAUGAUCAUCUCAAUAUAUACACAGAUAAUGCAUUUGACACAUCCUAACAUUCAUGUCAUGUAAAAAGCUUUCAACAAAUUAGGAAUAGAGGGGCUAGGGAUGUGGCUCAAGUGGUACUACGCCCUCACCUAGCAUGCAUGAGGCACUGGGUUCAAUUCUCAGCACCACAUAAAAAUAAAAUAAAGAUAUUGUGUCUACCUAAAACUAAAAAAAUAAAUAUUUUAAAAAAAUUAGGAAUAGAGCAGAGUUUGUUUAGUCUGAGAAAGGUCAUAUACAAAUACCCUACUAUUACAACAUGGUUAAAUGGUAAAAAAAAAAAUCGAAUGUUAUGACUCAGAACAAGACAAGGAUAUUUGCUUUUACCAUUUGUAUUCAGAAUUUUACUAGAGAUUUUAGCCUGUUCAAUAAGACAAGAAAAUAAAAAGAAUUAGGAUUGGAAAUUAAAGAAUAAAAAUUUCUCUUUAUGUAGAUUGUGAUUUUCUAUCUAAAAAACUCAGUCUACAAAAAUCUACUAUAACUAAUAGGUGAGUUUAGCAAGUUUGCCUAUUUUAAAGUUAACACACAAAAAUUCUUGUUUUUGUAUUCUAGCACUAAAACAUUUGUGAAUUAAAACAAACUGUAUGUAUUAGCACUAAAGACAUGAUAGAAAGCUGAAGCAAAAUGGGAAUGAUUUGUAUACAAAAACAUAUAAAAUACUGAUGAAAGAAAUCAAAGAAGACCUAAGUAAAUGGAGAGAUAUACUGUGUUUUUCUUUUGAAUUGAAGAUUUUAGCAAUAUUAAGGGGAAUACAUUCUGAUGAGUUCCAAUAAACAGCCCAGCAAUAUAUUUUGUAAAGUGCCGAGAAGCUGAUUCUACAAUUUAUUCAAAAAGUCAAAAUGGAUAGUUAAAGCAUAUACAUGCAAAAUAAUAGAUAAAACAGUAGCAAAACAAAUAAUAUAUAAAAGAACAAAUCUUGGGAUUGCAACAGUAUUUGAUUUAAAUAGUUUAAAAAAUAUUUACUUUUUAGUUGUAGUUGGACACAAUACCUUUAUUUCACUUAUUUAUUUUAUGUGGUGCUGAGGAUCGAACCCAGGGUCUCGCAGGUGCAAGGCAAGUGCUCUACUCCUGAGCCACAACACCAUCCCAUAGUUUUUAUGAAGCUAUAAUAAUCAAGGUACUGUGGUAUAGGGAAGAGGACAGACUAUAUUUAUCUAUAUAAGGUCAAAAGAUCUUUGACACAAAUUAAAAAGAAGACAAUGAGAUGGAGAAAGCAUACUCUUUCCAAUAAUUGUUACUGAAUAAUUCAUAAUUUAUCUGAAAAAAUAAAUGAACCUCCUUCAUAUCUCAUGGCAUAUACAGUAAUUAACUCCAAAUGAAUGAUUUAAACUAUGAGACUUUUAGAAAAAAGAACAUGCGGGAAUGUUUGUAAACUUUUUGCUAGGCACAACACCAAAUAUGUCAUUCACAAAAUAAGAAAAAUCCUAAGUUUAUCUUCAUCAAGUUUUUACUUUUUGAAUAAUAUUGCUAAGGUAGUGAAAAGCCAGAGUAAUAUUAGCCAGAUGACAGAAUAUGUGGUUCUUCAGCUUCACCCAUCUACACACAAACCCAUGUAGCAACUGUCCCUAUGAAGUAUUACCCUGAAUACCCCAAGAUGUGUGUCUGAAGCUAAUAUACCAACUUGGGAUCACAGAGCUGAGAAAAGUCACAAUUAAAUGGUAAGAGAAAGAGUUCUGUUGGACUUGCCACCCUUUUUCAAGAUGGCAAAGCAUCACUCACAGAGAAUUCUCUUAGACUCACAAUUCUGUAGUUGGGAUAGUAAAUUUUAGAGGUAAAGAUUCAGUUUCUCCACCAUUCCUGGGCUCACCUCAGGAAAUCUUGGGGCACCUGAGAGGACUAGGUGCCAGGGGUCAGUUAGAAACAACAAGGAUGGGGCUAACAAUAAAUAGCAUGCAAAUCUUGAUACUCUGCAUUCUGGCCAACAGAGAUGGUAGCCAACAACACCAUGCUUCAGUAAACAGUUGCCUGUGGAGCCAAAGCAAUGGUGGGGUCUGUGAUCACUGGUGCUUUUGAUCCUGUGGGAAGGAUUUCAAGUGAGUCUCACAUAUUUUCAGGCAGGAGUGUUUAUUAGAAAAAUGGAGAAUACAGAUGUUCAGGAGAGACUAAACAGGUCAUGUCAGGGGGUGGUGACAUGGGCCUUACAGAGUCGUGGUUUUUAAAAGACUGAACUUGGGGGCUGGGGUGGUGGCUCAGCAGUGGAGCGCUUGCCUAGCAUGUGUGAGGCACUGCAUCACAUAUAAAUAAAUAAAGAUUCAUUGACAACUAAAAAAUAUUUAAGAAAAAAAAAAGACUGACCUUGGAAGCUCUCCCUCUGAAAUUGGAAGAUGAAGAUGGUGGAUGCAAAUGAUGGCUCCAGAAUGUCCUGAUCCCUUUGACUUGAUAAGAAAGGCUCCCUGGACUUGGAAGAAGUUAAAACCUUCGAAAUUCCUGGAAGUGAAAAACAGUGUGAAACCUGUUAACUUUUGUCUUUCGUUCUAAUGCAUCCCUUCCCCUUUCUAAAAACUUUCUUCCUCCCAGAGGGUUUAGGGAUGACACUUUUGAAACAAUGACUAUAUUUUUUCAUCUUUCUUCAAAGGUAAUUUUGAAUAAAAUCCCUUUCCUACCAAUUUGACUUUGAAUAUGUCUGGAGCAGAGAGUGUUGUGGCUUAUCUUCCUUACUCCUCAGGCCCAUAUUUGAACUGUCUGGUAACAGUUUCUUUUGUUUCUGUCUGCUUUGAUAAAAUUCUCUGUUAUGAACUAUGAAUUGUCUUUGAUGCACAUGUCUGACUUCCUCCCUGUAAGUUAUUACCCUUUACUGUCCUUCCCCCUGCCCGCCUGCUUGUGACUGACUUGCCUAACAGAAAAUCCUAAAGAUUUCAGAAGAAAACUAUUCAAUCUAAUAAAUGAACUCAGUAAACUUGCAAGAUACAAA
RNAcentral lists this long non-coding RNA (9715 nucleotides) under Marmota monax (woodchuck). Lineage: Eukaryota; Metazoa; Chordata; Mammalia; Rodentia; Sciuridae. The record is from RNAcentral.